Molecule: non-coding RNA, 27 nt
Filed under: Homo sapiens (human)
Lineage: Eukaryota; Metazoa; Chordata; Mammalia; Primates; Hominidae
Source: RNAcentral
UACGAUGGGAACAACUGUAGUGCAGGC